CAUCAGCUCUUACACAGAGUUCUGCUAUGUUUCAAGAAGCAGGAAGAAGAAACAGGCUCCCUGCUUGGGACAGAUGGUGAAAUGAGAAAACAGAGCCGCUGGACUCCUCUUUGGCUUUUAUUUUCCAGGAUCAUUAUCUUGAAACCACAGAGCACAGAGCAACAAGAGCUGCGGGGAGGCUGGGUCCAGCAUUUGACUGAGUCAGGACACCCUGCGGUUUGCCCUGCUCUGCCCUGACCAGCUGCCCUGACUCUGCAAACCAUUCUCACCCUGAGACAGCGCCCUGUGCGUAGAGGAGAGGAUUAUGACCUGCACGCAGCCCUUCUGAUGGCUAAGAUGAUGCAGUGACAAUUAAUGGGAUGAUAUGAUCCAACACAGAGCUUCUUUUGUGAAAGAGGUCAUGUGACCAUCUGAUUUCAGGAGAAGCCACUGGUUUCCAGGGUAUGGCAUGCCAUUCUCAAGUGCAGGUCUGGAAGACGGUGAGACCCAAACGUGUGCAGUCCGGUUGACAACUCGGCAACCACAUAUACUUCCCGGCUCAGCUACUGUUCCAAAGCUACAUGGGAUGUCAUUACUGGGGGACUCCAGGUGAAGGAGAUGAACUUUCUCAGAACUUCCUGUGGGUCUAGUAUUAUUUCAAGAUGUAAUGUUAUAAAAGAUUAAAAUCUUGUGUUAUUUUUUGA
Cavia porcellus (domestic guinea pig) is the source of this 683-nucleotide long non-coding RNA. RefSeq lists it as uncharacterized. The transcript has 2 exons. NCBI's taxonomy places the organism in Eukaryota, Metazoa, Chordata, Mammalia, Rodentia, Caviidae. The record is from RefSeq and is a predicted model, not a curated record.